UUACGGCUACAUCACGUUUAAACACCGGUUCCCGUACGAUCACCGAAGUUAAGCAAUGUUGAGUCUGGUCAGUACCUAGAGAGGUGACCAUUUGGAAAUACUGGGUGCU
Molecule: non-coding RNA, 109 nt
Organism: Acanthosepion pharaonis
Lineage: Eukaryota; Metazoa; Mollusca; Cephalopoda; Sepiida; Sepiidae
Source: the annotation of a GenBank genome assembly